RNAcentral lists this transfer RNA (76 nucleotides) under Nocardia farcinica. RNAcentral's name for it is "tRNA-Gly". The record is from RNAcentral. Lineage: Bacteria; Bacillati; Actinomycetota; Actinomycetes; Mycobacteriales; Nocardiaceae.
GCCAUGGGCGGAUCGCGGCUGUGACGAACUUCUGCUUCCCAAGCAGACAGCGCGGGUUCGAUUCCCGUUAUCGGCU